Molecule: long non-coding RNA, 552 nt
Filed under: Equus caballus (horse)
Lineage: Eukaryota; Metazoa; Chordata; Mammalia; Perissodactyla; Equidae
Description: lncRNA (ENSECAG00000046036.1)
Source: RNAcentral
CCCAGAGCUUGUCCUUCCCUGGCCUGAUUCCUGCACCCGGAACCACGGAAAGGGAGGGGGAUCCUCGACGCGAGGGGAAGGCCGAGGGCCCGGCUGAGCAGGUCAGGGCCGCCGAGAAAUCCUCUCCUCCUAGAAGCUUUUCAGAGUGUCCCGGAGCAGACCCUGGUAGACCAGGACGCUCCACAAAAUGGUCCAGGAGCAGCCUGUGAGCUUGCCGAGGGCUGAGGUCAGCUCGUUUCAUCUCUGUGCUGGGCCCUGGGGACACAAGGCUCCUGAUCAGCGAAUGGUUUUUGUACGGGGAGCUGUUGAGAAGCUUCAAGAACUAAUGGACAGACUAGAGAAGCGGGUUUGGAAAACAGGUGAGCUGGAUAAGAAAAAUCUGACCACACACUGGGGACCGUCAGUUCUGCAAACCAGAUGGCCGAGCAGGCUCUGCUUGUAGCUUCUCAUGGUCUGCUGGUUCUCACCACUAAGGAGGCCUCCUCUCCAGCAAGAUGUCAUCAACAGCACUAGAACCAAAGCUUCCUGGGUAUCGGGAACAGAACACAUGCC